GGGAAGCUAAUUAAUUAAAAGGCCCAUAAGUAGGUGGGCUUAGAAGAAUUCCAGGAAGCUGUUGAAUUUUGGGCGGGUCCAGAAGGCGGCGCUAGGCAGAAAGAAGGGAAGUUCCGCGGUUUCAUCUUUCUUCUUGCAUCUCGGCUGCCUCGUGAUCAGGAAGUCAUGGAGGGAGACUAGUGCCUAGUAUUUGCGGUGCCUGAAAACUUUCUUAAGAAGCAGUUGUUUUGCUGGCCUCCUAGGACAUCCAGGAGCUGGUCCUGUCAUCUUCCAGGUUAGAGGAGCUGUUGGACUAGGAACCCGGCAGGAGCUGGGCAGCGGUGUGGAGCAGGGGUGCCUUUUCUGCCGCCAUUCUCACAAUUCAGUAUUUGCGGAACCUGAAAACUUCCUUAAGCUGCCGUUGCUCCUCCUAGGACAUUCAGCAGCUGAUCCUGUCACCUUCUAGGUCAGAGGAGCUGUUGGACUGGGAAAUGGGCAGGAGCUGGGCAGGUAUUCAUAUGCUCAGCUAAAUGUACAUAACUGUAAAUCAACACUAAGAGCACCGGAUGGUUAAGGUCAAGGAGAUUCUCACAAAGGAUCCAGAUUCAGAUUGUAGCAAGCAGGUUGCAAACCUGAGUAUGAUAUGGAUAACUCUGCUUCCUGCCCCAAUUUUCCUAGCAGUUUUUGUCACUAUGCAAGUUCCCACCAGGGUGUCUAAGAUGUCUGCUGAGAGUGAAUCGUCUGAUAUGAGGUUUUUUUCUCCAGAAGCUCUACUUGCUUUCUGAAUCACCUAUUCUGUCCAGUCUAAAUGUUUUUUUGUCCUUGACCUGUGUUCUUAUUGAUGCUCUGUGUUGCAUUAGUCCUGAUUAGAGUGGAAUAAUUAUUGUUGAUCUACUCUGUACUGUUUGCUUUAGUUUUGGGUCUGUUUGCCUUAUUUCUGAUGUAUGUUUCUUCUCUUAUAUUCUUGAGAGCUUUUAUACUGAGCAGUGUCUACUUUUUUUUUUUUCUUUUUGGUUUUUCGAGACAGGGUUUCUCUUUAUAGUUCUGGCUGUCCUGGAGCUCACUUUGUAGACCAGGCUGGCCUCGAACUCAGAAAUCCGCCCGCCUCUGCCUCCCGAGUGCUGGGAUUAUAGGCGUACGCCACCACGCCUGGCAGUGUCUACUUUUUACCCCAGGGCUCUAUAAGUAAGUUUCAUUCUCCUACUGUCACUGUAAUUUGGGAGGAUUUCUGCCUACAUCUAUUAACCUAGGCCUAGUCAUGUAAGCUUCUACUCUCCAUACAGUAUUAUCUAGGCCUGGUGUGUUUUCAGCCUCUGAAAUUUGCUGCUGAAUAAGCCCCCACCCUUUCUUACUCCUUCUCAAUGCUUACCUGGGUGAUUCAAUUUAGUUUUUCCAGCUCUAACUCCUCUCCCAGCGGAGUUCUUCUCUCAGACACUGAAUUGUUCCACUAGACCUUAAAUUAACUGUAGAAAUCUUUUGUGAUCCUCUGGCUCCUUCUCAUUCUCCUGCUCAUUCUGUCUUUGCCCAGGCCUAGCAUGUUCUCUCUUCAAUCUGACUCUGUAAAACUCUCCCAGUAAAACUGUGUCCUUCUCCCUCUCUGUGGAUCUACUCUCUCAACUGUACUGUACUGCAGCCCAUGCACUCUACUGUAUUCCUUUAUUAUUCUCUUCUUUUUGUAAUGUCUUUCUCUGUCUCAAGUAGCUUCUCUUUCCUCUCUCAUUACAGCAAAGUUGGGCAGAUCCUAUUCUGUCAGAUCUUUCUCUGAUAUUCCAUAUUUUCUGUCAUUCAAUUAGACAUUGCUUUCGAACAUGGAUGUGUUCUUCUACAUAUAAACUGUAGUUUUGAUAUUUUGGAUUAAAGUCAAUACUAAGGCCUUGCCUGUACUAAAACCAGAGCGAUUGAUGUUGUGUGUCUUGGGCUGAACCACACCCUAAGUCACAACAGGUUCAAGUAUCCCUACCCAGUGUGAUGUCAGUUUACUUCUGUACAAUUUCUUCUUUCUGAAAUGAAAACCAAGAUCCACAUAUACUACUCUUCAGUAUGUUGAUAUCUGUUUCAUUUUUUCUGACUUCUACUUGGGACUUUAUUAUAAUGUUCUUUGAAGAUCGGUCGAUGACAUUCUGUUCCUUGUGAGAUUAUAUUCCUUAGGAUUUUUAAUCUGGAAGAUUUUGCUGGUAGUGUAGGUGGCAAAGUAUGUUUACUUUGUUCUCAAUUCCUUGUGUGGGAUAGAGCUUUACUGUGUUGUAUAUGAGAAAUACUUACUAGUUCUUGUGUUUAUUCAUUCUUAGCAAGAAAUUUCUUAUUUCCUAUUUCAUGAAAAAUGUAUGCGUUAUUUUGUGCAUACUUUCAUCAAUUCAUUUUUAAAGUAGUUUUUUUGUUUGUUUAGUUGGUUUCUUUUUGUGGUUGUUGUUUGGUUUUACGAGACAGGGUUUCUUUGUGCAGUCCUGGCUAUCCUGGAACUCAGUUCAUAGACCAGGCUGGCCUCAAACUCAGAAAUCCACUUGACUCUGCCUCCCAAGUGCUGGGGUUAAAGGCAUGCUCCACCACUGCCCAGCUCUAAGCAGGUUUCUGACUAAAAAACAUGUCCUAAUGAAUUACUACAUUCAAAUUUAUUUUAUAUACUGUCAAUACUGUUAGCCACUUACUUUGGAUUGCCAAUUAUUUUCUCUGAGGACUUGAAAAAUAUUAUUCCAUUCACUCCUGCUUUUAACCUAUUUAUAACUAUUUAUUACUAAUGUAUGCUACUGUAGUGUCACCACACUGAUGGUAAGGGACAGGACAAGACAAUAGGAAAAGAGAUCUACAUUGUUAUAGCACUUAGAUGUGACAAAAGCCAGAUAUAUCUAGGAGUAGAGCAAGCCAAUCUGUAAUAGCGUUCCCUAGGGAAUGCUAAGCUAGUAUGCUAUGUUCUUCUUCUACUUAAGAAUCCCAGUGUCUGAACACACUACCCAUUACUAUUAUAGUUUGUCCACUUUCAAAAUAUUGGGAUGAAACAAGUGAUAGUAAAAAUUGACCGCAAGGCUGAUAAGGACAGAAUUAAGUCUCUUUAGAGUCAGAUAUGUACUUGAAGAAAUGCCAGUGUCAAGUUUUAAAGUCAAAGUCCUACUGUUCUUAUUGACUUCUUGGUGAAUGUAAUACCAUGGGUUAUUCUUCCCAUGUUAGAAUGAGCUCUUGUUCAGUCUCCAUAAGAUGAAAGAUGUACUUUUCCUGUUAUACACACAGACAAAAAUAAUUCCAUGAUAUACAUUCAUUCCAUGUAUUUACUGUUAUUGAAACUAAAGCCUAACAUAUAUCAGUCAUGCAGGAAUUUAGGAUCUGUUUCUGAAAUGUUGACAACAAUACUCACCCUUUAUGUCACAGGCAAGAUUCAUAAAGUGACAUGCUUUGUAAAAAUGUCCUGAUUAUUCCCUGAAUAUUCAUGCAUUCCUAUGCCCAGUUUUUCUAGCCCAUUUGAUGUUGUCUUGAAAUGCCUGGGUCAUAGAGAUUUACAUAUUAUAAAUUUAUGACAGCAUUAUAUUUUUCCCUAUAUCUACAUUUCCGUUCUACAGAAAGUCCUCUUACCACUCAAUUUCCCAUCACAUGAGUUAGGGAUUAUCCUCAUUUCUUUCAUGCAUGUUACAGCUGUUAGAAUAUUUACAGAGAAACAUUCUGGCAGAGUAUUUGUACUAUCCAUUUUCUUUGCUAUUGGAGGUAUUUCAAAGCUCCUAAAGUUUUCUUUAAUUUGUGCUAUUUAAAUCUCCUGGUGCUAGCAUUUUCAGGUGAAUGGCCUUUGUAGGAAAUUAGUGUGGAGGCUUUGCACAUCCUUGUCUCUCUCUGCUUAGUAGAAUAGAAGGAUGACAGAUGUCUUCAGUUUUUGUAGUGAUAGGUUUAGGAUGAUGGCUACUAUGUUUAUUAGACUCAGUCAUGUUCUUUCUUUCUUUCUUUUUUUUUUUUUAAAGAUUUGUUUUUUUUUAUGUAAGUACACUGUCUCUGUCUUCAAACACACCAGAAGAGGACAUCAGAUCCCAUUAAGAAUGGUUUGCUGGGAAUUGAACUCAGGACCUGAGUGAUGUUCUUUCUCUUCCACAUUCUUCAGAGCUUUCAUAGUGAUCCACUGUGAUAUUUUGCCCUAGGCCUUUCAUAGAUAUACUGACAUGGUUGAGAGCCUUCUCUCACUGAUUGUAUGUACUUUGUGCCUUGAGUUAUUUGGUUUGUGCUUUUUGAAACAGUCUUGCAUCUAUGGCAUGAAAUCAAGUUGAGUUCAUUUUCUAUAUCCAUUAGAGAGAAUUUCUUUAUUAUUUUAUUCAUGCAUAUUUUUAUGGUCAUUUGCUUUUGCAUCCCGGUACAGACAGCUUUGUGUGAUGACUGCACCACAUUCCCUACUUUCUGUAUUCUGCAAUGUUCUCUGUGCAAGAUGAUUGAGGGAUUUUCUAAAGAAAUUUGUGAAUUAGGUGCUACAUCUAUUUAGUCUCAGAUAGUGUUAAAAGAUACCCUGCAGGCCUUGAUUUCCAUACUUGCUUAUUGCUGGGCCUAGUGUUAAGACAUAGAAAGCUUUCUUGUUCACUUGUUCCUAGGAUAUCAUUUUUUUCCCUGUUAGUUCUCAUUAAUUGUGUAUGACUUUCUAUGGUACUCCAUCAUCUGCUAUUUCCCAGUUUCAAUAUAAACUAAUGAGGCAGGGGCAUCAAAAGAGACCACCUGUAUACCCGUUAAAAGCUAAGAGAAAUAUUUGACAUGAGAGAACUAUAAGGUCAAUGUAAUACAAAAAUUUGCUGAAUAUUUGCUUAUACCAACUUUGUGUAGUAAUAGUAUCUUGAUGUUUAGAAUGAGUUCUUAUGUUUUUAUUCAUGCAUAAAUAUGUUUGUGUGUAUGUAUGUAUGUAUGUAUGUAUAUAUGUAUAUAUGUGUAUAUAUAUAUGCAUUAGUAUUUAUUUCAGGAGACCCUGUCAUACAUUCUUACUUUCUUUUUUUUUUUUUUUUUUUUUUCCUUUUCUUGGCUUUUUGAGAUAGACAUUCUUACUUUCAUUUGGAACUACAACAUCGUUACCAGGUAGAAUCUUUGUCUGUAUUCCAAGACAACAGGGCACAUAUAGUACAUAGAUACACUGUAUCUGCCUGUGAGAAUGAAAUGGAAUCUCAUCAUAGGGUUAGGUGUGGUAUUCUAGUAUGAUAUCUAAUGAAAUACUAUUCAACUGUGGGCAUCAUUCAUGGUGGGCACUAGCCAUUUGUCUUUGACUCUAGACCCAGGAAGAUAAGUUCUCAAUAACAACCCUGAUAAUAGUGUUUUACAGCCUGGAUGCAUAUACUCUGUGUUUAUGUCAGGUGUCCAUUGAAGUCAGAAAGAGUCCUAGGAUUAUAUUCAUAUUCCUUACUACACUAAAUAUGUCACUCCAUGCUCUCAUGUCUGUAGAAAUGUUGGCAAGAUUCCUUGUAUCAUGUUGCUUUUAAUGUCAUUUCAUGUGGUUUAUCAUUGUCCAUUACAUUG
Molecule: long non-coding RNA, 5439 nt
Organism: Mus musculus (house mouse)
Lineage: Eukaryota; Metazoa; Chordata; Mammalia; Rodentia; Muridae
Product: predicted gene 13166
Exons: 3
Source: RefSeq, a predicted model, not a curated record